Molecule: long non-coding RNA, 384 nt
Organism: Zea mays
Lineage: Eukaryota; Viridiplantae; Streptophyta; Magnoliopsida; Poales; Poaceae
Exons: 2
Source: RefSeq, a predicted model, not a curated record
UAUUCUGUCUUUUCCUGUUAUAAUUUCUGCGCAGUUUUUUUUUGUCUAGCACGUCAUCAAUAUCUAGUUUAUUGGUUCGAUGCAACGAGGCGUGCUGAUUUCUCGGUCCAACGAGAGAGGGAUCUUUUGAUGCGUGCGUUCUAAGCCGACAUGAAUUAGCACGUUUUUGAAAGAAGUGAAGGAUAAAUCACUUAUAGUCCAACACUCUUCACGUCGAGCCUUCUCAGUCCAGUCCUCAGACAUGGAAUAAGAGCGAAAGAACAGAUGGACAAUUCCAACACUGUCUUCACAUCGAGCCUUCUCAGUCCUGAGACGUCAUCGUAAUAAGGAGGUUUUUGAUGGUGUCCGACCUUCCAUUCAUGCAAUAAAGACAGUUUUUUUGGA